GCGUUGGUGUAGAGCAGUUUCAGCUCGGGGUCCGUGACGAGCACUGCGCGCGUGGUGCGAUCCGCGAUCGAUGUG
This 75-nucleotide transfer RNA is filed under the name Rhodopseudomonas palustris. RNAcentral describes it as "tRNA-Val". The record is from RNAcentral. Lineage: Bacteria; Pseudomonadati; Pseudomonadota; Alphaproteobacteria; Hyphomicrobiales; Nitrobacteraceae.